Molecule: long non-coding RNA, 1450 nt
Organism: Mus musculus (house mouse)
Lineage: Eukaryota; Metazoa; Chordata; Mammalia; Rodentia; Muridae
Product: predicted gene 2287
Exons: 1
Source: RefSeq, marked validated
CAGUCAGAUCCGCCAGAGGGCAGCAGAGGUGCUGCAAACUUACUUAUUUAUCAUAUUCUCCAAUGGGAAGCUACAGAGUCCAGGCAAACUGUACAACAGCUACGACUCGAUAAAUCUCCAAGAGGAGUCAGCCGACCCUGGCGGCUGAAACGGAGACUUUCUCCUGCGUUGAAAAUCAUUUUGAGACGGUUGUCCUCGGUUGCAACACGACACUUUGUGGGAAUUUUGAACAAGACCUGUGACCAAAAUGAAAGGGCAAGAUGCUUGAGUUGCUCAACAUGCAGACGCUGUUUGCUGAAAAAGCAGUUGAGAGUGAAUCGACUCUAGAGAAUCACAUCAAAACGUUCAGAGUAAACAUGGGGGUUUUUGCUUUGGUGCCUUUGGAACCAACAAGCAUCAGGAAGCUGUUGCUGUCCAGGAGAAUAAACAAAGUUGGCAAUGAGGGUUUGAGUCUCUCAGCUGCUCAAGACACAGAGAGACCAGCCCUAAUACACAGGGUGUGACCUCUCAGGUAGGUGAUGGCAUCCAGGAUGACUUGCAAGUUGAUCGCCUUCCACCUUCCUUCGAAUUGUGCUGAUGCUGCCCAACCUGGAAUAGUUGAAAAUAUUCUGCCCCGCUCCCCACAGAGGAUGAAGCUCGAGAAAGUCCAAGUGGAACUUCCAGAAAGGUAUCAUCAGAAGAAAUACUGAGGAUGAUCAAACAGGACAGCCAGUGGGGCUUUUUGUCGUCAAAAUGCUAACAUCCCACAGGGAAUGAGGAGAGGAGAGCAGAGCCCACCAGGCCGAACGCAUCUGAUUUCUAAGACCCUCAUCAAGUUCACAGCCCAGAAAGGCAUAAAGGGGAAAGUGUGCUGGGACCUGAAACUCUCACUCCACCCCUCAACCCCACCCCUGCACAUCAUGAAAACCAGCCUGGUGGAGCACUUUACCUGCCUAGCUUAUAGCAACGGCCACACACAGAGCAUAAUCUCUGAUUCUGUGAAGGCAACAAUAACUGCGUGUGUGGUUACCCUUGCCUUGCGCAUAAAUGACUUCCAGAUUUCCCUGAUAGUGUUACAGGCAAAAUGGCACACUAUGUCCUAAAUUUGGAUCAUCUGCAGAUACUUGUUCAUUCAAAAUGACCCUAGAGGGUUUUCGGAGGGGAAACGAGGAAAGGGGUUAUAACAUUUGAAAUGUAAAUAAAGAAAAUAUCCAAUAAAUUUAAAAAAAAAAUGACCCUAGGAAACCAUAAAUGAUAAAAUGCCAAACUUUAUCUCACAGGUAGUACAUAAAAAUAAAAGCGUGUUAAAGAGAGAAAACACAAAGAAAAAAAUGCCAGCAACCUUAUGGGGCAGAAAUUGUAGCUGGAUUAGGGGAAAUUUUAUUAUAUUGAAAAAUACGUUGAGAAGAGCAAAAUGUAAUCUCAUUAUGGGACACUUCUGGUGUUACAAUAAAAUUUCAAUAAUUCUAUA